This 492-nucleotide ribosomal RNA is filed under the name uncultured bacterium. RNAcentral's name for it is "partial 16S ribosomal RNA". It matches the Rfam family "Bacterial small subunit ribosomal RNA", at positions 29 to 507 of the family's 1533-position model. The record is from RNAcentral.
AGUGAACGCUGGCGGUAGGCCUAACACAUGCAAGUCGAACGGCAGCACAAUAAGAGCUUGCUCUUACGGGUGGCGAGUGGCGGACGGGUGAGGAAUACAUCGGAAUCUACUUUUUCGUGGGGGAUAACGUAGGGAAACUUACGCUAAUACCGCAUACGACCUACGGGUGAAAGCAGUGGAUCUUCGGACCUUGCGCGAUUGAAUGAGCCGAUGCCGCAUUAGCUAGUUGGCGGGGUAAAGGCCCACCAAGGCAACGAUCCGUAGCUGAUCUGAGAGGAUGAUCGGCCACACUGGAACUGAGACACGGUCCAGACUCCUACGGGAGGCAGCAGUAGGGAAUAUUGGGCAAUGGGCGCAAGCCUGACGCAGCCAUGCCGCGUGGGUGAAGAAGGCCUUCGGGUUGUAAAGCUCUGUUGUUGGGAAAGAACAGAAGUAUGAUAAACCCCCGCUGUUCUGACGGUACCCAAAGAGUAAGCCCCGGCUAACUACGUG